RNAcentral lists this ribosomal RNA (155 nucleotides) under Rhizoctonia solani. RNAcentral describes it as "5.8S ribosomal RNA". It matches the Rfam family "5.8S ribosomal RNA". Rfam says of the family: 5.8S ribosomal RNA (5.8S rRNA) is a component of the large subunit of the eukaryotic ribosome. Lineage: Eukaryota; Fungi; Basidiomycota; Agaricomycetes; Cantharellales; Ceratobasidiaceae. The record is from RNAcentral.
AAGUUUCAACAACGGACCUCUUGGCUCUCGCAUCGAUGAAGAACGCAGCGAAAUGCGAUAAGUAAUGUGAAUUGCAGAAUUCAGUGAAUCAUCGAAUCUUUGAACGCACCUUGCGCUCCUUGGUAUUCCUUGGAGCAUGCCUGUUUGAGUAUCAU